AGCGAACGCUGGCGGCAGGCCUAACACAUGCAAGUCGAACGAACUCUUCGGAGUUAGUGGCGGACGGGUGAGUAACACGUGGGAACGUGCCUUUUGGCUCGGAAUAACUCAGGGAAACUUGUGCUAAUACCGAAUGUGCUCUUCGGAGGAAAGAUUUAUCGCCAUUAGAGCGGCCCGCGUCUGAUUAGCUAGUUGGUGAGGUAACGGCGCACCAAGGCGACGAUCAGUAGCUGGUCUGAGAGGAUGACCAGCCACACUGGGACUGAGACACGGCCCAGACUCCUACAGGAAGCAGCAGUGGGGAAUCUUGCGCAAUGGGCGAAAGCCUGACGCAGCCAUGCCGCGUGAAUGAUGAAGGUCUUAGGAUUGUAAAAUUCUUUCACCGGGGACUGUAAUGACGGUACCCAAAGAAGAAGCCCCGGCUAACUUCGUG
RNAcentral lists this ribosomal RNA (433 nucleotides) under uncultured bacterium. RNAcentral describes it as "partial 16S ribosomal RNA". It matches the Rfam family "Bacterial small subunit ribosomal RNA", at positions 29 to 507 of the family's 1533-position model. The record is from RNAcentral.